This is a long non-coding RNA of Gadus macrocephalus (Pacific cod), 545 nucleotides long. RefSeq lists it as uncharacterized. NCBI's taxonomy places the organism in Eukaryota, Metazoa, Chordata, Actinopteri, Gadiformes, Gadidae. The transcript has 5 exons. The record is from RefSeq and is a predicted model, not a curated record.
CCGAUGCCCUUGGCUGAUGGAGGAACUGCAUCUGGAGGACGACCAUGAAUCUACCUGCCAACAGGUGGUACUGGUUUGCACUGGUUUGCAUGAACUGAACAUGGUGGACAUGAGGCAAAUUCCCUGCUUUUUGCUCCAGACCAGGACUCUGUGAGGGGUGGUGAUGGAGCCGUGCUGAGGACCCGCUGGUGAAGGACGUCCCUCGUGGGGGGGCAAGGACAGCCGACCCUGAGGAUCCGCUCGGAUCUACGAUCGCUACGAUGCGACUGCAGAGGUCUCUGGAAGACCAGGAGUCCUUGCCUGAGGAGAGCUGAUGGAGGAGCCGUGCACCUGGAGAACCAUGAGUCUGCCUGCCAACAAGUAGUACUGGAAGGCGGGGCAUAGGGAGGUGAUGGAGGACCUGCCUGGUGAAGGACGUCAGGGUGGGGCGAGUGACACCCGACUCCAAGGGGAUAUCCACUGAGGAGAGAGCUGAAGGAGCCAUGCAUCUGGAAGGUGCAGUUGAAAUGCUGUGUCCAGUCUGGGACACACACCUGAGCUGCGUC